UACCUGCCGUGGAGCAUCGCCAGGGCUGACUUCCCUCACAACGGCGUCGACUUCCCCGGCGGCACGCCCACCGGCAGGUUCAGCAACGGCCUCAUCGGCGCGGACUUCCUGGGUGAGUGAGUACUGAUAAACUGCAAUGCAAAUAGGGUUACCGUACUUAGUCAUAAUGCGUGUGCAGACAUCUCACAAGGAAUGCUGCAAAGAGACUGAUAAGUUUACAGCAGAUUUCUGACAGAAAAAAAUUAUGAUGAUAAGGUAUUUGUUUCGAUAAAACUUGCAGCCAUUGCUAUGGGGUUCAGUGGGAGCCCACCACCUUACCUGUCUCUCAUGGCGGCCACUGCUGCCAACAGCAGCAGUGAGGUGACGAGGAACACGACGAUGGCAGCCUACAUGAGCGGAGCCAACUUCGCUUCUGCAGGCUCUGGUCUUCUUGAUUCCACAGUAAGUCUAUCUCUACAUUUGUUUUCACCUUGCAUCAUGUCUUUUGGUUUGGGACUUAAAAUCUUGCUUCAACAGAUACUAUAUUCUCAAGUAAAGAAUCAUGCUCCAGUUUCUGACUAGACAAACCUCUCAAUUAGAUUAGUUUCGCUGUCUAGGAAGCUUAUUAGGCAAUUUUAUUCUUGAAACAAAAGGCAUUUUAGCAAAUUUAGGCUUAUUAGGCUGCCUUUAUGGUACACUUGAAGUACUAUGUAUGUGUAAUGUGUGCCAUCAAUGCACACACUUCAGAUAAUUUUAAUUGUAUCCCGUACAUCAAGUGAUGAGUUACUACAUAAAGUUGAAAAACUGUCCACAAAAGUUCAACCAUUUAUAACAACUUUUGUACUCAGCUCAUAAAUUUAGUGAAGCACGCUGGGGCUUCUCAAGACUUUUCUCGUUUUCAAAUCAAAUUAGUAGUACAAUCAGCAUUACCAAGUAACAAUAUGAUUACUUUUUCAAAGAAAAGCACUAACACCAAAGUUCAAAUGGUCAUUGCGUCAGGGUUCUACAAUCAGCAUGACCCAGCAGAUAGGGUACUUCUCAGACCUUAAAGACCAGAUGUCAACCAGACUGAGUGCUGGCAGAGUGGCGGACUCGCUGUCGAAAUCUGUCUUCCUCAUAAGCGCCGGGUCGAAUGAUGCAUUUGAUUUCUU
This 1130-nucleotide long non-coding RNA is filed under the name Sorghum bicolor (sorghum). RNAcentral describes it as "long non-coding RNA (SBIC_LNC005906)". Lineage: Eukaryota; Viridiplantae; Streptophyta; Magnoliopsida; Poales; Poaceae. The record is from RNAcentral.